RNAcentral lists this long non-coding RNA (691 nucleotides) under Anas platyrhynchos platyrhynchos (common mallard). RNAcentral's name for it is "lncRNA (ENSAPLG00000025520.1)". The record is from RNAcentral. Lineage: Eukaryota; Metazoa; Chordata; Aves; Anseriformes; Anatidae.
AAGCGGGGUAGCAACUCCGUGAAUCUGAAUAUGCCAUAUGGCAUUCUGCUUCCUUGUGCUUGUUUGAAGUUCAUUCAGUUUCUCACAAAUACACUUUUCAGAUUCAAAUAAAGAAGUCCCAAAUGAAGCAGAAUUCCGGAUGAACUGGAGAAAAAUGUCUGCCUCGUGUUCUGAAGGAUGCCUGCUGCAAAUAUGCUGCCCUUCAUCUUCCUGUAUCAAAUCUUGAGGCUGGUAGUUCAGGCAGAUCAGAUCAGCCAGGAUGUGGUCUCACAGGUAUUCGGAACAGGAGAGAGGCCAGCCUCCUCCAGGUCUGCACUGCCAGCUGCCUGCUGUGGCAGCCAAAAGAGAUGCAGCUUGGAGCUUAUCGAUCUCAGCUGAUGCCCGUAGCGUGAGGUCUGCAAACUUAUUUCCCACUUGCUAUUGAUGCUCCUGAAGGGCAGACUUUGGACUGCUUGUGCUUGUCGAUCCAGUGCUGCAUUGCAACAAGGUGGCCAGGGUGGUGGGCUGCUGGCUUGCAGGAACAGUGUGUGGGAUUUUGUCCAUCUUAAUGUGCUCCCUGGCAGUUGCAGGGAUAUACCUUAUGUAGCAAUGCCAGCAUGGGCCUGAAAAAUACAGCAGUCAACCAGCAUUAGUGUGCAAACAAGGAUGCAUUUAAAAUAAAUGUGUUAGUGCGAUGCUCUUGUUACUUUUU